Molecule: transfer RNA, 73 nt
Filed under: Dipodomys ordii (Ord's kangaroo rat)
Lineage: Eukaryota; Metazoa; Chordata; Mammalia; Rodentia; Heteromyidae
Rfam family: tRNA
About the family: Transfer RNA (tRNA) molecules are approximately 80 nucleotides in length. Their secondary structure includes four short double-helical elements and three loops (D, anti-codon, and T loops).
Source: Rfam by way of RNAcentral
GGGAGUAUGGAUCAAGUGAGAGAUCACUUGCCUAGCAAGUGCAAGGUCCUAAGUUCAAACCCUAGUAUUGCCA